CUUGUAGGUGGCCAACUAAGUCAGACGUGAAAUCCCUCGGCUUAACCGGGGAACUGCGUCUGAUACUGGAUGGCUUGAGUUUGGGAGAGGGAUGCGGAAUUCCAGGUGUAGCGGUGAAAUGCGUAGAUAUCUGGAGGAACACCGGUGGCGAAGGCGGCAUCCUGGACCAAUACUGACACUGAAAAGCGAAAGCCAGGGGAGCAAACG
This 207-nucleotide ribosomal RNA is filed under the name uncultured bacterium. RNAcentral's name for it is "partial 16S ribosomal RNA". It matches the Rfam family "Bacterial small subunit ribosomal RNA", at positions 568 to 774 of the family's 1533-position model. The record is from RNAcentral.